UUCUUCAUCUAUGGAUUACUGCUUGCUGAGUUAAUUUUCUAUUCAUGUGUUCUCAGCUGAUUGUAAUUUGAAUUACUCUGGAGUUGAAUGGUAUGGAAUGGAAUAACUAGCAAUCUGAAAAGACCUGCAGGGGUUCACAUGUUAUUUGGCAAGGUGAAAAUUGUUCUUAAUUCCUUUUACUUACCGUGAUGUUCCAAACCCCCACAUAAUUAAUUCUGCUCUGCUCCAUUAGGUGGGAUGCUCUGCCAUUAAUCUAAUAGGUAAUUGGAGCUCCUUCAUGAUGUUGAAACUGUGGAAGGAGAUGAGAUUUGUCCCAGUUAUUCUCUACGUCGGAAUCUGAAAUGGCCUCAUGUAUAGUUGUAGCCUUGUUCCAGAAAGGGAGAGACUGUCAUCUCUCUGUGCUAGGCAUAAAGGAAGAAAUAGAAUGUAAUGCUGGGAGGUCUUUUUAUUUUGUAAUUGCUAUUUGAGGUUCAUAAAUACAUGCUUUAUGUUCUGUGCACUGUGAUUCAAUUGUUAAAUACAGUGCGUGAUUCUGCUUAUCUUCAAGAGCGAGUGCUCUACAAUUACUAAAGGGGCAACAGUUCAACUAGGGAGUUUGUUGCUUUUUGAAAGGUGAUUUUAUGUUAUUGCUUUUACUUUUCUGAAA
Long non-coding RNA from Cygnus atratus (black swan), 646 nucleotides. RefSeq lists it as uncharacterized. NCBI's taxonomy places the organism in Eukaryota, Metazoa, Chordata, Aves, Anseriformes, Anatidae. The record is from RefSeq and is a predicted model, not a curated record. The transcript is spliced from 2 exons.